This 331-nucleotide ribosomal RNA is filed under the name uncultured bacterium. RNAcentral's name for it is "bacterial SSU rRNA". It matches the Rfam family "Bacterial small subunit ribosomal RNA", at positions 568 to 898 of the family's 1533-position model. The record is from RNAcentral.
CGCGUAGGUGGUUGUGUAAGUCGGAUGUGAAAUCCCCAGGCUUAACCUGGGAACUGCAUCCGAUACUGCAUGACUCGAGUGCAGCAGAGGGAAACGGAAUUCCUGGUGUAGAGGUGAAAUUCGUAGAUAUCAGGAGGAACACCGGUGGCGAAGGCGGUUUCCUGGGCUGACACUGACACUGAGGCGCGAAAGCGUGGGUAGCAAACAGGAUUAGAUACCCUGGUAGUCCACGCUGUAAACGGUGAGUGCUGGGUGUGGGGGGUGUAAUGCCUUCUGUGCCGAAGCUAACGCGUUAAGCACUCCGCCUGGGGAGUACGGCCGCAAGGUUGAA